Molecule: long non-coding RNA, 405 nt
Filed under: Homo sapiens (human)
Lineage: Eukaryota; Metazoa; Chordata; Mammalia; Primates; Hominidae
Description: HSALNT0335809
Source: RNAcentral
AGAGCCAGGCCGCCUCAGUUCCUUCGAAGAUGUGUUUGAAAACUUCAUUCUUCUUUCGAGUGUAUCAUCCUAUGGGCUGCAGAAGGCCUUGUGCCUCGAGAAAUGUGAAAUUAAAUCCAGAGAAAAGCAGACACCUGCCCCAGAAAGGUGGGGGAGAAGUAUGAGCUGCUUAGCACUUGGACGCGGCCCUUCCCCAGGGCUGGAUUCUUCUGUCCGUGGGAGCUCUGAGCUCCAGGUCCGCGAAAAGAAAGGCACGACAUGUCAGGAGAAGAUGCGGCUGGCGGGCUGUCUGUGCGCUCCCCAAGGCCCAGGGAAAGUCACGCGCCUAGCACAGGGGACGCAGGGCCGAAGCCGGGAGAAGGCGGUUCUGCCCGCCACCCAGCCCCUUGGCUCGCGGUUGCGGAG